AACCAAACCACUUGAUUCUCCCUCCAAAACCAUCCACACACCUUCCCUAUAAAUAGGUGAAGGUGUUCCACCAGAAAACCAAGCUUGAAAGCCCCUCAAACCCCUGCUGAAUUUUUUACCUAAAGCUCCCAAAACAGAACAUCAUGUUUUGAGUUUCAGUGAGUUCCAACUUCAAACAACCACCUAGAAACCUUCAUAAACCAUCAUUCAAUAUUUCCAAACAUCUAAC
This 229-nucleotide long non-coding RNA is filed under the name Lathyrus oleraceus (garden pea). Its description in RNAcentral is "Pisum sativum (pea) long non-coding RNA (PSAT_LNC014116)". The record is from RNAcentral. Lineage: Eukaryota; Viridiplantae; Streptophyta; Magnoliopsida; Fabales; Fabaceae.